CCCUUAGAUGUUCUGGGCUGCACGCGUGUUACAAUCGGGAGUACAACAAGAUUGCAAAUCCUAGUGGAUGAGUGGUUCUUCGAAAUUUUCUGAAGACUGGGAUAGUUGAUUGAAAUUAUUCAACUCAAACGAGGAAUUCCUUGUAAUUGUAAUUCAUUAUAUUGUAAUGAAUACGUCCCUGCCCUUUGUACACACCGCCCGUCGCUCCUACCGAUUGAACGAUCCGGUGAAUUAUUUGGAGUAGCUCUGGAAGUUGCAGAACUUCCUAUGUCACGAAAUUUUGUAAACCUUAUCGUUUAGAGGAAGGAAAAGUCGUAACAA
RNAcentral lists this ribosomal RNA (321 nucleotides) under uncultured eukaryote. RNAcentral's name for it is "partial 18S ribosomal RNA". It matches the Rfam family "Eukaryotic small subunit ribosomal RNA", at positions 1470 to 1797 of the family's 1831-position model. The record is from RNAcentral.